GCAUUGGUGGUCCGGCAGCAGAAUUCUCGCCUUCCAUGUGGGAGACCUGGGUUUGAUUCCCAGACGAUGCA
This 71-nucleotide transfer RNA is filed under the name Loxodonta africana (African savanna elephant). It matches the Rfam family "tRNA". From Rfam's summary of the family: Transfer RNA (tRNA) molecules are approximately 80 nucleotides in length. Their secondary structure includes four short double-helical elements and three loops (D, anti-codon, and T loops). Further hydrogen bonds mediate the characteristic L-shaped molecular structure. tRNAs have two regions of fundamental functional importance: the anti-codon, which is responsible for specific mRNA codon recognition, and the 3' end, to which the tRNAs corresponding amino acid is attached (by aminoacyl-tRNA synthetases). tRNAs cope with the degeneracy of the genetic code in two manners: having more than one tRNA (with a specific anti-codon) for a particular amino acid; and 'wobble' base-pairing, i.e. permitting non-standard base-pairing at the 3rd anti-codon position. The record is from Rfam by way of RNAcentral. Lineage: Eukaryota; Metazoa; Chordata; Mammalia; Proboscidea; Elephantidae.